RNAcentral lists this ribosomal RNA (727 nucleotides) under Salmonella enterica. Its description in RNAcentral is "partial 23S ribosomal RNA". It matches the Rfam family "Bacterial large subunit ribosomal RNA", at positions 2107 to 2829 of the family's 2925-position model. Lineage: Bacteria; Pseudomonadati; Pseudomonadota; Gammaproteobacteria; Enterobacterales; Enterobacteriaceae. The record is from RNAcentral.
UAGCUUGACACUGAACAUUGAGCCUUGAUGUGUAGGAUAGGUGGGAGGCUUUGAAGCGUGGACGCCAGUCUGCGUGGAGCCGACCUUGAAAUACCACCCUUUAAUGUUUGAUGUUCUAACGUGGACCCGUAAUCCGGGUUGCGGACAGUGUCUGGUGGGUAGUUUGACUGGGGCGGUCUCCUCCUAAAGAGUAACGGAGGAGCACGAAGGUUGGCUAAUCCUGGUCGGACAUCAGGAGGUUAGUGCAAUGGCAUAAGCCAGCUUGACUGCGAGCGUGACGGCGCGAGCAGGUGCGAAAGCAGGUCAUAGUGAUCCGGUGGUUCUGAAUGGAAGGGCCAUCGCUCAACGGAUAAAAGGUACUCCGGGGAUAACAGGCUGAUACCGCCCAAGAGUUCAUAUCGACGGCGGUGUUUGGCACCUCGAUGUCGGCUCAUCACAUCCUGGGGCUGAAGUAGGUCCCAAGGGUAUGGCUGUUCGCCAUUUAAAGUGGUACGCGAGCUGGGUUUAGAACGUCGUGAGACAGUUCGGUCCCUAUCUGCCGUGGGCGCUGGAGAACUGAGGGGGGCUGCUCCUAGUACGAGAGGACCGGAGUGGACGCAUCACUGGUGUUCGGGUUGUCAUGCCAAUGGCACUGCCCGGUAGCUAAAUGCGGAAGAGAUAAGUGCUGAAAGCAUCUAAGCACGAAACUUGCCCCGAGAUGAGUUCUCCCUGAGACUUAGAGUCUCCU